GCGGUCGCUGGCCGGGCUGGACCGGCCCGACGCCGGCACCGUCGAGGUCACCGGGCCGGUCUCGGUGGCCUUCCAGGAGCCGCGGCUGCU
Molecule: transfer RNA, 90 nt
Filed under: Marmoricola endophyticus
Lineage: Bacteria; Bacillati; Actinomycetota; Actinomycetes; Propionibacteriales; Nocardioidaceae
Description: tRNA-Ala
Source: RNAcentral